RNAcentral lists this ribosomal RNA (899 nucleotides) under uncultured archaeon. RNAcentral describes it as "bacterial SSU rRNA". It matches the Rfam family "Archaeal small subunit ribosomal RNA", at positions 5 to 909 of the family's 1478-position model. The record is from RNAcentral.
CGGUUGAUCCUGCCGGAGGUCACUGCUAUUGGGAUUCGACUAAGCCAUGCGAGUCGAGAGGGUUCGGCCCUCGGCAGACGGCUCAGUAACACGUGGAUAAUCUGUCCUUAGGUGGAGGAUAAUCUCGGGAAACUGAGAAUAAUACUCCAUAGAUCUAGGAUGCUGGAAUGCACCUAGGUUGAAAGUUCCGGCGCCUAAGGAUGAGUCUGCGGACUAUCAGGCUGUAGUCAGGGUAAAGACCUGACUAACCUACGACGGAUACGGGUUGUGAGAGCAAUAACCCGGAGACGAUAUCUGAGACACGAUAUCGGGCCCUACGGGGCGCAGCGGGCGCGAAACCUUCACACUGUGCGAAAGCGCGAUGAGGGAAUCCCAAGUGUUUGCUCGUAAGAGUAAACUGUUUCUAUGUCUAAAAAGCAGAGAGAGUAAGAGCUGGGUAAGACGGGUGCCAGCCGCCGCGGUAAUACCUGCAGCUCAAGUGGUGACCACUAUUAUUGGGCCUAAAACGUUCGUAGCCGGUUUAGUAAAUGCCUGGGUAAAUCGAGCCGCUUAACGGUUCGAAUUCCGGGUAGACUGCUAAACUUGAGACCGGGAGAGGCUAGAGGUACUCCUGGGGUAGAGGUGAAAUUCUGUAAUCCUGGGGGGACCACCAGUGGCGAAGGCGUCUAGCUAGAACGGGUCUGACGGUGAGGGACGAAGCCCUGGGGCGCAAACCGGAUUAGAUACCCGGGUAGUCCAGGGUGUAAACGCUGCUUGCUUGAUGUUAGUUGGGCUCUGAGCCCGAUUAGUGUCGGAGAGAAGUUGUUAAGCAAGCUGCCUGGGAAGUACGGUCGCAAGGCUGAAACUUAAAGGAAUUGGCGGGGGAGCACAGCAACGGGUGGAGCGUGCGGUUUAAUUGG